RNAcentral lists this transfer RNA (75 nucleotides) under SAR11 cluster bacterium PRT-SC02. RNAcentral's name for it is "tRNA-Glu". It matches the Rfam family "tRNA". Rfam says of the family: Transfer RNA (tRNA) molecules are approximately 80 nucleotides in length. RNAcentral also lists the same sequence under 4 other names. The record is from RNAcentral. Lineage: Bacteria; Pseudomonadati; Pseudomonadota; Alphaproteobacteria; Candidatus Pelagibacterales; Candidatus Pelagibacteraceae.
GGUCCCAUCGUCUAUCGGUUAGGACACAUGGUUUUCAUCCAUGAAAGAGGGGUUCGAUUCCCCUUGGGACCGCCA